Long non-coding RNA from Sapajus apella (tufted capuchin), 831 nucleotides. RefSeq lists it as uncharacterized. The transcript has 2 exons. The record is from RefSeq and is a predicted model, not a curated record. NCBI's taxonomy places the organism in Eukaryota, Metazoa, Chordata, Mammalia, Primates, Cebidae.
ACAAUAAGAGGUCAAGUUGCCAAUAAAUUAUUACUGUUAAUGUUCUGGGAGAUGCUGAAACUAUGCAAAGUGGGGAAGAGGGGAGGCAGAUAUUGCAGUUUUAUAGUGAAGAUUGGGCUUUGGAGUCAUACCUGAGAUGUAAGUAGCAGGUUUUAAAUUCUAGCUAUGACUCUGUGCAGAUCACUUAACUUCUGAGUGUCAGGAUGUUUGGAAGGACAAGAUAAUAAAUUACACCUUAGUAACAUAUUAAUUUUCUUCGGUGUUCCGGCAAUUAGUGUUUAGAAAGCUGUUGUCAUGAGAUGGCUUUGGGUUGUGAUGAUAAUUGUUGGGAUUGAAAAAAUUGUAUCAUGAAGAGGUCAUAAUACUUAUUACAAUAGUAUUAAAAGUGGUUUUGCUUUCAGUUAGGGAGAAAAAUUAGAUUGUACUAUUUUGCUUCUGUGAUUUCCUUCAGUUAUCUUCCAAAUGUUAUUCUCUAUGCAUAGCCCCCUUAACAUUGUUUUCUAAGUACUUCUCAAUACAUUUUCAUGUUUCUCAAGCCUCUUUGUGAAUGACUCCUAAAUUUAACUUCUUCCAUUAGCUCUAGAUCCAUAUUUCCAAUAAAAUCUCCUACCUGAAUAUUGAAACUGAACAUGCCCAGAAUACUUACUGAUUUUAUUUUAUUUAUUUUUGUUAUUUCUUUUCCAGAUGAAUCCUGAGUAUGAUUUUAUUAUUAAUAGCCUGGAUAUUCUGUUGUUUGGAAUUAAAACUUGUAUAACUAAUUUGCGUCCCUUUAUCUUCUUAGUUAAUAAAACCUACAAUUCUGUCUCUGAAAUGAUCAUAGUAUACAACCUC